UGGAUGGAAAUGCAAAUAUUUAUGUAUAUGCCAGAUGGAGGCUUUAGUUGUCAUUAAUUUCCAGAAAAUAACUUUUGAAAAUCAACAAACUUUGAGAGAUUAUAUGAAAAAAAACUGCUAACAAGAGAAAAAGGAGAUGAACGAUGUCUUUUUUAUACAGGUUAUGAUCCGCUCAUAUUAUAGAUGAAAGAGUAUGCAGAUAGAUGUGGCAAGAUCGGGGGUUUGGGGAG
This 230-nucleotide long non-coding RNA is filed under the name Elaeis guineensis (African oil palm). Its description in RNAcentral is "long non-coding RNA (EGUI_LNC050744)". The record is from RNAcentral. Lineage: Eukaryota; Viridiplantae; Streptophyta; Magnoliopsida; Arecales; Arecaceae.